RNAcentral lists this unclassified non-coding RNA (253 nucleotides) under uncultured Alphaproteobacteria bacterium. RNAcentral describes it as "contains 16S-23S intergenic spacer region". It matches the Rfam family "Bacterial small subunit ribosomal RNA", at positions 524 to 776 of the family's 1533-position model. Lineage: Bacteria; Pseudomonadati; Pseudomonadota; Alphaproteobacteria. The record is from RNAcentral.
UACGGAGGGGGCUAGCGUUGUUCGGAAUUACUGGGCGUAAAGCGCGCGUAGGCGGGUUGGUGAGUUGGGGGUGAAAUCCCGGGGCUUAACCUCGGAAUGGCCCUCAAUACUGCCAGCCUUGAGUUCGAGAGAGGUAAGUGGAAUUCCUAGUGUAGAGGUGAAAUUCGUAGAUAUUAGGAAGAACACCAGUGGCGAAGGCGGCUUACUGGCUCGAUACUGACGCUGAGGCGCGAAAGCGUGGGGAGCAAACAGG